This 887-nucleotide long non-coding RNA is filed under the name Homo sapiens (human). RNAcentral describes it as "HSALNT0405634". Lineage: Eukaryota; Metazoa; Chordata; Mammalia; Primates; Hominidae. The record is from RNAcentral.
GCAGGACCGGGCAGGGCUGUGCAAUCAGCGUUCCUGCUGGGACCUUUAGCUGAUUGGGCCAAAGGGGGCAGGGAGGUGGUCCCAGUAGGGGGAUUCAGGGAAGCACCCAGAGAUGGGGCCACAGCCAGGCCAGAAGGUCACCCCCUCCCAUGCACAUCUGUGCACCAUAUGCCCACACCACUCCCAGCCCCAGGGCCUGCACACCUCCCCCGACCUGCCAGCGUACAACCUUGGCACACACAGGUGGCCACACACUCCCGACAUUUGUCCAUCUGCAUAUGGAGUCACAGACACCUGCGCACGUGCCCAGUGGCACAUACACACCCUCAUGGAUAGCAGACAUAUGCACACGCAGGCUGCUCCCUCAAACACCUGCCCCCACCCCAGCUCUGGGGUGCCGACGUGCCCUGGGGCCUGGGGAAGCCCUGCACAUACAUUAGGUCUGAGCUGCAGCCAUGUGAACUGGCAGGCCCUCACACCAGACCCCACAGGCACCGGGCCAUGUCUCUGUCCCGAACUGCCCUGGGGGCCAUGAGACACUUUGGCUCCUCUUCUGCAAGCUGAAAGCCUCAGUUUCCCCACCUUGGAUCCUCCUGGCACGGAAACGGUGACUCUUCUUGAGGACCCAGGUGCUUGGGGCCAGUCUCACCUCUCUGGGUCUACAGUUCUUAGUUCCGGGCUCUCCGCUCCUGGUGCGUGGAUGGGGGAAGGUGAGCCAAGGGGCAGGAAGGAGGACCCCCGCAACCCACCCCCUCCCUGGUCCUGGUGGCUGCAGACUUAGGGUGAGGAGAGCCAGUGAACAGAGGGGAGCCCUAGUGGGAAAGGGGAAUCGGGGCCGAAGGGGAGAAGGAGCCCCGGGCAGGUUUGGGGCGGCCGCUCAGGGGCCG